GCCUUCGGGAACUGUGAGACAGGUGCUGCAUGGCUGUCGUCAGCUCGAGUUGUGAAAUGUUGGGUUAAGUCCCGCAACGAGCGCAACCCUUAUCCUUUGUUGCCAGCGGUUAGGCCGGGAACUCAAAGGAGACUGCCAGUGAUAAACUGGAGGAAGGUGGGGAUGACGUCAAGUCAUCAUGGCCCUUACGACCAGGGCUACACACGUGCUACAAUGGCGCAUACAAAGAGAAGCGACCUCGCGAGAGUAAGCGGACCUCAUAAAGUGCGUCGUAGUCCGGAUUGGAGUCUGCAACUCGACUCCAUGAAGUCGGAAUCGCUAGUAAUCGUGGAUCAGAAUGCCACGGUGAAUACGUUCCCGG
Molecule: ribosomal RNA, 361 nt
Filed under: Salmonella sp. JC8
Lineage: Bacteria; Pseudomonadati; Pseudomonadota; Gammaproteobacteria; Enterobacterales; Enterobacteriaceae
Description: bacterial SSU rRNA
Rfam family: Bacterial small subunit ribosomal RNA
Source: RNAcentral